AUUGAUUUUUAAUUAUUUGUGAAGGUACUACGAAUUAACAACAAUUCUAUAGUCAAAACAAAAUAAAUCA
RNAcentral lists this unclassified non-coding RNA (70 nucleotides) under soil metagenome. Its description in RNAcentral is "partial internal transcribed spacer 1". The record is from RNAcentral.